CCUACGGGUGGCAGCAGUGGGGAAUAUUGCACAAUGGGGGAAACCCUGAUGCAGCGACGCCGCGUGAGUGAAGAAGUAUUUCGGUACGUAAAGCUCUAUCAGCAGGGAAGAAAAAAAGUCCUUUGGACUUUGGACGGUACCUGACCAAGAAGCCCCGGCCCACUACGUGCCAGCAGCCGCGGUAAUACGUAGGGGGCAAGCGUUAACCGGAUUUACUUGGUGUAAAGGGAGCGUAGACGGCAGCGCAAGUCUGGAGGGAAAUGCCGGGGCGCAACCCCGGAACUGCUUUGGAAACUGUGCAGCGGGAGUGCAGGAGAGGUAAGCGGAAUUCCUAGUGUAGCGGUGAAAUGCGUAGAUAUUAGGAGGAACACCAGUGGCGAAGGCGGCUUACUGGACUGUAACUGACGUUGAGGCUCGAAAGCGUGGGGAGCAAACAGGAUUAGAUACCCCUGUAGUC
RNAcentral lists this ribosomal RNA (457 nucleotides) under uncultured bacterium. RNAcentral's name for it is "partial 16S ribosomal RNA". It matches the Rfam family "Bacterial small subunit ribosomal RNA", at positions 338 to 795 of the family's 1533-position model. The record is from RNAcentral.